ACAGUACAAUGGCCUGAGUCCAAUUGAGCUGCGCAAAGUGAACGUUCAAGUAACAAAGCAAUAGGAAUGCGAGGCAGUGUGGAAUGACUACGGCCGCCCCAUCUACCCUACGCCGAUCUGUGCUGCUCGUUUUGAGGAUAAAACCUACGGCCCCUGCCAUGGUGAUUCAGGGGGUCCGUUGCUCUACGAGGGAAAGAUUGUGGGGAUUGCGUCGUGGGGCUAUGCAUGUGGCGAGCCUCCCUACCCUUCUGUCUACACACGUGUCUCUAGCUACGUGGACUGGGUCAUUGAGAAGACUAAUGCAUCGCUGGUGUAUUGAUAGCACCGUUGGAUCUGUAUUUGCUACAGUUUUUAAAUGUUGAUAAAAGUUAAUAUUGUGUUAUCACAGUAUGUUAUUUAUGUCAAUGUCUGUCUGAAAGUGACAAUAAAAUUUCAUCUGAAGUUUCUUA
Molecule: long non-coding RNA, 449 nt
Organism: Schistocerca serialis cubense
Lineage: Eukaryota; Metazoa; Arthropoda; Insecta; Orthoptera; Acrididae
Exons: 2
Source: RefSeq, a predicted model, not a curated record